UGGCCCUCUGAAGACUUCUGGAACCGUCAUGAUGCAGAAACUCCUCCCUGAUUGAUCUCCUCGUCGCCGGGUGGAUGACGAGCAGCAGGAUCUGAGCCUCCUGCAUGACCACAGCCUCCUCCUUCCGUCACUUCUCCGGAGCUUCUCCUCGUCUGCUCGUCGUCGCUCUCUCUCAGACCGGCCGUCACCAUGAACCACAUGAGGAGCAGAGUCGGCCCCUCGGAGCCAGGAGCUCCAGGGACGAACGGCAGGAGCAGAGACGACCGUCAGUCUGCAUCUGCAAACACCAACAACAGCAACAACAACGACGGGUGAGCAGCGGUUCUGGUUCUGGGAUCGGUUCUGUCUGGACUACCGUUCUGAGAGGAAAGGCUCCGACGUUUAAUGAAACGAAGCAAUUACCAAUUUAUCUAUGGUUU
Molecule: long non-coding RNA, 419 nt
Organism: Oryzias melastigma (Indian medaka)
Lineage: Eukaryota; Metazoa; Chordata; Actinopteri; Beloniformes; Adrianichthyidae
Exons: 3
Source: RefSeq, a predicted model, not a curated record